Molecule: unclassified non-coding RNA, 366 nt
Filed under: uncultured Sporormiaceae
Lineage: Eukaryota; Fungi; Ascomycota; Dothideomycetes; Pleosporales; Sporormiaceae
Description: sequence contains ITS2
Rfam family: 5.8S ribosomal RNA (bases 1-154)
Source: RNAcentral
AACUUUCUGCAAUGGAUCACUUGGUUCUGGCAUCGAUGAAGAACGCAGCGAAAUGCGAUAAGUAGGGUGAUUUGCAGAAUUCAGUGAAUCAUCGAAUCUUUGAACGCACAUUGCGCCCUUUGGUAUUCCUUAGGGCAUGCCUGUUCGAGCGUCAUUUAAACCUUCAAGCUCUGCUUGGUGUUGGGCACUGUCACUCCCUCACGGGGGUGCGCCUCAAAUAUAUUGGCGGCCGGUACGUUGGCUUCGAGCGCAGCAGAAACGCGAACUCGUUGACUUUGUAGCGGUCCUCCACAAGUUUUUUACCAUUUUGACCUCGGAUCAGGUAGGGAUACCCGCUGAACUUAAGCAUAUCAAUAAGCGGAGGCU